RNAcentral lists this long non-coding RNA (263 nucleotides) under Malus domestica (apple). Its description in RNAcentral is "long non-coding RNA (MDOM_LNC010197)". Lineage: Eukaryota; Viridiplantae; Streptophyta; Magnoliopsida; Rosales; Rosaceae. The record is from RNAcentral.
UUGUGUAGACGGCGGCGAGAGCGGAGACAAAGACAUUGAGGACUUGGGAAAGUGAGGGUGUGAGACUCAAGAGAUAAAUGGCGGGAAAUGUCGUUGAGGCGUCUAACUAACUAUCAAGAAGAAUGCAUUUAAUUUAUUCUCGUAAUUGUUAUUGGCAGUCCAAACGUCAUAAUCGAUUAUUUAGAAAAUAAUACUAGUUCUAAAAGUAUUGAUUUCUUUGGAGUUUAACUGUUUUUUAGUUGAAUAUUAUAAGGAUAAUGAUU